This 402-nucleotide ribosomal RNA is filed under the name uncultured Altererythrobacter sp. RNAcentral describes it as "bacterial SSU rRNA". It matches the Rfam family "Bacterial small subunit ribosomal RNA", at positions 355 to 774 of the family's 1533-position model. The record is from RNAcentral. Lineage: Bacteria; Pseudomonadati; Pseudomonadota; Alphaproteobacteria; Sphingomonadales; Erythrobacteraceae.
UGGGGAAUAUUGGACAAUGGGCGAAAGCCUGAUCCAGCAAUGCCGCGUGAGUGAUGAAGGCCCUAGGGUUGUAAAGCUCUUUUACCAGGGAUGAUAAUGACAGUACCUGGAGAAUAAGCUCCGGCUAACUCCGUGCCAGCAGCCGCGGUAAUACGGAGGGAGCUAGCGUUGUUCGGAUAUACUGGGCGUAAAGCGCACGUAGGCGGCGCCGUAAGUCAGGGGUGAAAUCCCGGAGCUCAACUCCGGAACUGCCCUUGAAACUGCAGUGCUAGAAUUCUGGAGAGGCGAGUGGAAUUCCGAGUGUAGAGGUGAAAUUCGUAGAUAUUCGGAAGAACACCAGUGGCGAAGGCGACUCGCUGGACAGACAUUGACGCUGAGGUGCGAAAGCGUGGGGAGCAAACA